Molecule: long non-coding RNA, 610 nt
Organism: Heterocephalus glaber (naked mole-rat)
Lineage: Eukaryota; Metazoa; Chordata; Mammalia; Rodentia; Bathyergidae
Source: Ensembl
CCUGGCGGAGCAGUGGUUGGGGCAGGUGGAGAGGAGGUGGCAGAACAGAUAGCUGAGCCACACAGGAGUCCCCACAAGGGAAAUAUGGAGGCAGGUGACUAGGAAAUGAGGAAGCUACUAACAGGGAAGAAAUGAUAUGAAACAGCCCUACUGCAAAUUCUCAGAGCCUGGCUUUGCUGAUGAAGUUAAAGAAGGUAGAAGAAGCCCAUGAGGAUACAUUGAAGGAGACAACAUUAAGGAUCAUUUGGAUUUUGUGGGGUAAUACAAGUGCCUAUGAGGAAAGCUACACAGUGAUAAAGAGGGAGCCAGAAAUGUAUGAAAAGAAGAUGGAAUCAGCAGUAUGUGUCAAGACAACUAAAUUGGUGCUAUGGGAUCGAACUCGGGACCUUGCACUUGCAAGGCAGGCAGCAGAACCACUGAGCUAAAUCCCCGGCCCUGACAUUCUGAUUCUUAUUUGCUCUUAACUUUCUAUUAUUUCAGUCUUUCCCUUGCUCUUCAUAUGUGAUGCAGUUUUUUCUUCCUUUCCACUAUGAUUUUUUACUCUUCUUGACAAAUUUGACCCAUGAACUCUCUUGCCAGUCCCCCUCGAUCAGCAUUUGGUAUUAAAGCA